RNAcentral lists this ribosomal RNA (429 nucleotides) under Bacteroidota bacterium. RNAcentral describes it as "Bacteroidetes bacterium partial 16S ribosomal RNA". It matches the Rfam family "Bacterial small subunit ribosomal RNA", at positions 355 to 776 of the family's 1533-position model. Lineage: Bacteria; Pseudomonadati; Bacteroidota. The record is from RNAcentral.
UAGGGAAUCUUCCGCAAUGGACGCAAGCCUGACGGAGCAACGCCGCGUGAGUGAAGAAGGAUUUCGGUUCGUAAAACUCUGUUGUUAGAGAAGAACAGCGCAUAGAGUAACUGAUAUGCGUGUGACGGUAUCUAACCAGAAAGCCACGGCUAACUACGUGCCAGCAGCCGCGGUAAUACGUAGGUGGCAAGCGUUGUCCGGUUUUAUUGGGCGUAAAGCGAGCGCAGGCGGUCAAUUAAGUCUGAUGUGAAAGCCCCCGGCUCAACCGGGAAGGGUCAUUGGAAACUGGUUGACUUGAGUGCAGAAGAGGAGAGUGGAAUUCCAUGUGGAGCGGUGAAAUGCGUAGAUAUAUGGAGGAACACCAGUGGCGAAAGCGACUCUCUGGUCUGUAACUGACGCUGAGGCUCGAAAGCGUGGGUAGCAAACAGG